UACGUCCACACCUUUUAGGUGUGGGCCAGUUGGCUGUCAUACUUCCAAGAAAAGCUCGAACUACUGUAAAGCAUCAAAUACCUGUACCGUAAACCGACACAGGUGGGUUGGUAGAGUAUACCAAGGGGCGCGAGAUAACUCUCUCUAAGGAACUCGGCAAAAUGACCCCGUAACUUCGGGAGAAGGGGUGCCAAGUAACUAAAAUUGCUUGGUCGCAGUGACCAGGCCCUGGCGACUGUUUAUCAAAAACACAGGUCUCCGCAAAGUCGUAAGACAACAUAUGGGGGCUGACGCCUGCCCAGUGCCGGAAGGUUAAAGAAGUUGGUUAUUCAUUCGUGGAGAAGCUGACGACUGAAGCCCCGGUGAACGGCGGCCGUAACAAUAACGGUCCUAAGGUAUCGAAAUUCCUUGUCGGGUAAGUUCCGACCCGCACGAAAGGCGUAACGAUCAGGGCACUGUCUCGGAGAGAGACUCGGUGAAAUAGACAUGUCUGUGAAGAUGCGGACUACCUGCACCUGGACAGAAAGACCCUAUGAAGCUUGACUGUAGCCUGGAAUUGGGUUCGGGCUCUUCUUGCGCAGCCUAGGUGGGAGGCGUUGAAAGCUUUCUUUUGGGAAAGCUGGAGCCAUCAGUGAGAGACCACUCUGGAGGAGCUAGAAUUCUAAUGGCGUUCCUUGAAGCAGGACGCUUGACAGUUUCAGGUGGGCAGUUUGACUGGGGCGGUCACCUCCUAAAAGGUAACGGAGGUGUGCAAAGGUUCCCUCAGGCUGGACGGAAAUCAGCCGUAGAGUGUAAAGGCAGAAGGGAGCUUGACUGCAAGACCUACAAGUUGAGCAGAGGCGAAAGCCGGCCUUAGUGAUCCGACGGUUCCAUGUGGAAGGGCCGUCGCUCAACGGAUAAAAGUUACUCUAGGAUAACAGGCUGAUCUUCCCCAAGAGUUCACAUCGACGGGAAGGUUUGGCACCUCGAUGUCGGCUCAUCGCAACCUGGGGCGGUAGUACGUCCCAAGGGUUGGGUUGUUCGCCCAUGAAAGCGGUACGUGAGCUGGGUUCAGAACGUCGUGAGACAGUUCGGUCCAUAUCCGGUGUAGGCGUUAGAGCAUUGAGAGGAGCCUUCCAUAGUACGAGAGGACCUGGAAGGACGCACCUCUGGUAUACCAGUUAUCAUGCCAAUGGUGCACGCUGGGUAGCCAUGUGCGGAGUGGAUAACCGCUGAAAGCGUCUAAGUGGGAAGCCCACCUCAAGAUGAGUGCUCUCCAUCAGGUCACAGGAAGACAACCUGUUUGAUAGGCAGAAGGUGUAAGGCUAGUAAUAGUUUCAGCUGAUCUGUACUAAUAGACC
This 1340-nucleotide ribosomal RNA is filed under the name metagenome. RNAcentral's name for it is "bacterial LSU rRNA". It matches the Rfam family "Bacterial large subunit ribosomal RNA", at positions 1567 to 2910 of the family's 2925-position model. The record is from RNAcentral.